UUUUUUCACAAUCAAUUAAAAUCUAUGAAAAUUGAUUCAAUACCAUUCAAGAUGGCCAAUAAGUUGAAAGACAACAAAAAGUAAAGCCACGAAAUUGAUUCUUAAACAGAUCCGCAAAAUGUUUGGGCCAGGAAAAUUUUCUAUGCUAUUGUAGCUCAUGUUCUAUAUUCUCAAAUUGGUUUUUUUGUUUCACUGUGUGUGUAGUUUAAACUAGAACUGACCAUCUGGGUUCUUAUUACUUGAAGUAGGUUUUAAGAUCAUUUCCUGUAUUUUUUCCUUCUCUUUGUUGCUUCUUUCAACAGUCAUGCUGUAGUUCUUUUAAAAACCUUAAGUGACAAAAUUCUUCAAGUCAUUCAACGUUGGUUUUUAAAUUGUUUCAUGUACUACUGAUUUGUCACUACUUGUUUUUUCUCCUCAAUUCAUGACAUAGUUAAUACAAGGACUGAUCAAACUGUUUUUAUCAUUUGAAAUUUUAAAAUGAUGUUUCAUGAAUUACUAACUUCUCUCACUUGUUUUUUUAUUUCUGUUUCAUAGUAUGUUUUACACCUGAAACUUCUAGCUAUUUGUUUCUUUCUACUUUUAAGUUUCAUGAUGUACUUUUACCUGGAAGGUCUGAGUUUCAUCAUUGGCAGUUUUUUUUUUAAGUAAUGUUCCAUGUCUCUCCAUUUGUCUUUUUCCAUUUUCAUAGUGUCUUGUAUAUCCAAAGUAACUCAACACACUGGGUUUUUAUCAUUUAAAAGUUUAUACCAAGAGUCAUGAAUCAAACUUAUUUGAGUUUCAUAACAUGUAUGUUGUAAGUGGCUGAUUAGACUUAAUUUUUAUGGUUUGAGUAUACACCACAAGUAACUGAUCGGACAGAAUUAACUCUUUUGUGUUUUAUAGUAUAGUUAAUAGCUGGAGUGAUUCAUAACAUCUAAUUCUUUAUAAUUUUAUAUUUGAGGUUUAUAAUAGUAUGGUUCAAACUUGGAGAGACUAAUCUGACUCAAUUCUUAUUAUGUGAUGUUACUUCUUAAUGAUACUCCAUUUUCACUGACUUUUAACUAUUUUUUUCUCAAUUUCAUAGUAUAGUAUGUACCAGUCCUGACUGACAUUACUACGUGUUCAUAUUAUGUGGUUGUCUUAAAUUGAUGUCUCAUGUACCACUACAUGUAUUUGAUUCAUCAUUUCACAGUUUCUUGGUACAAUUGACUGCGGUCUAACUAUGUUUUACAUACUACUGGCUUUUUUCAAUGUUUCUUCUUUCUCAGUUGCAUAGCAUCAAUUACAAUUUCAGAAGAAACUGAUCAGACUAAAUUCUUAUUAUUUUACUUUGGUGUUGCAAUGAUGUUUUAUGAACUACUGACUUUUCACUCUGCUUCUUGUUUUCUCAGUUUCAUACCAUAGGUUAUACCAAAAGUGACUAAACAGACUGAGUUCUUAUCAUUUGAGUACCAGGAGUAACUGAUCCGUCUGAGUUCUGAUCAGUUGCUAUUAGUUUUAAAAAUUAAUGAUGUGUCAACUCAAAUUCUCUUUUUCAUUUGUUUCACAGUAUGAUGUGCACCAAAAUUUCUACCUCGAUUGACUGGGUUUUAUAAUUUGAGGCUUUUUCCACGUUUCAUGUUUCAUUCCACAUUUUCAUAGUUUGUUGGCAGAUUCUUCAUCAUUUGAAGUUUGUUAUGAUGCUUAAUGUACUUUAGACUUUUUUCACCAAUUUUUUCCUUUUUCAAAUUCAUGACAGUUUAUGUAAAGAGAAACUAAUUAACUUCGUUUGAGGCUGGAUUUUGAGAUGACUUUUAGUGUUUGACUCACUUUUCAUCUGUUGUUUUUCUAGUUUCAUGUUGUGUUAUAUACCAUGAGUGACUGAUGACACUGUUCCUGUCAUUUGAGGCUGCUUUUAAAUGACAUUAAUAUACAACUCACUUUUGAUUUGUUGCUCCUUUCAUAGUAUUCUUCGAUUUCAAGAUAAUUUAUUCAUUGAGUUUUAACCAAAAUAACCUAAGGAAAUGAAUCAGAACAUUGUUGCAAUGACGAGUACCACGCCCAAUGGACCUUGUGCUUUGAACCUUCUAAUUAAUGCGCAUCUCUCAACUGGAGUAAGAUGGUGGAUCUUCUGGUGAAGAGGCAGGCUGAACAUUUUCCUUUUCUAUCAAGUCACCAUUAUUUGAGGAACCACUUUUAUCUCUUUGUUUCAUGACACUAUUUCUCCUGUAUGCUCUUUGGUUGUUGUUUAGGCUUUCUAAGCAGUUUUUAUAGGCCUAAUCUCACCAUGUCCAGAAAUCUACAGUGCUGUACGGACCAGACCUUAAAAAAUAAUGAUAUUCAUAGUUCAAUUAAUUAUUGUAAUUAUACUCAUUAUCAAUAAUUAAGUGUCGUCACAGUAACAAACAAUGGCGUGUGAAUGUAAACAAAAUAAAACUCCUGGAUUCUACAAGGAGUUUCAUGAAGAUAAAAAAAUAGUGGAUGAUGUAGGAUUUGUGA
This is a long non-coding RNA of Amphimedon queenslandica, 2457 nucleotides long. RefSeq lists it as uncharacterized. Lineage: Eukaryota; Metazoa; Porifera; Demospongiae; Haplosclerida; Niphatidae. The record is from RefSeq and is a predicted model, not a curated record. The transcript has 9 exons.